Molecule: ribosomal RNA, 522 nt
Filed under: uncultured Chytridiomycota
Lineage: Eukaryota; Fungi; Chytridiomycota
Description: partial 18S ribosomal RNA
Rfam family: Eukaryotic small subunit ribosomal RNA
Source: RNAcentral
UGGGUUCUAUUUUGUUGGUUUCUAGGACCUCAGUAGUGAUUAACAGGGAUAGUUGGGGGCAUUAGUAUUUAAUUGUCAGAGGUGAAAUUCUUGGAUUUAUGAAAGACUAACUUCUGCGAAAGCAUUUGCCAAGGAUGUUUUCAUUAAUCAAGAACGAAAGUUAGGGGAUCGAAGACGAUCAGAUACCGUCGUAGUCUUAACCAUAAACUAUGCCGACUAGGGAUCGGACGAUGUUAUUUAUNCUGNCUNGUUCGGUCCCUUGAGAGAAAUCAAAGUUUUUGGGUUCCGGGGGGAGUAUGGUCGCAAGGNUGAAACUUAAAGGAAUNGACGGAAGGGCACCACCAGNAGUGGAGCCUGCGGNUUAAUUUGACUCANCACGGGGAAACUCACCAGGUCCANACNUAGUAAGGAUUGACANAUUGAAAGCUCUUUNUUGAUUNUAUGGGUGGNGGUGCAUGGCCGUUNUUAGUUGGNGGAGUGAUUUGUNUGGUUAAUUCCGUUAACNAACNAAACCUUAACCUG